GCUGGUGUAGCUCAAUUGGUAGAGCAGUUGCCUUGUAAGCAUCAGGUUGAGGGUUCGAUUCCUUCCAUCAGCUCCA
RNAcentral lists this transfer RNA (76 nucleotides) under Parcubacteria group bacterium. RNAcentral describes it as "tRNA-Thr". It matches the Rfam family "tRNA". From Rfam's summary of the family: Transfer RNA (tRNA) molecules are approximately 80 nucleotides in length. Their secondary structure includes four short double-helical elements and three loops (D, anti-codon, and T loops). The record is from RNAcentral.